Molecule: long non-coding RNA, 1246 nt
Filed under: Coturnix japonica (Japanese quail)
Lineage: Eukaryota; Metazoa; Chordata; Aves; Galliformes; Phasianidae
Description: lncRNA (ENSCJPG00005001875.1)
Source: RNAcentral
CCAAGCCCUAUGAUUACCGUACCCCCCAGUGGGCGGGGCUUAGGGUUACCAUAGCAACAAAGGGGAGCAGCCAAUAGGAAGCCUUGCCUGCUUGCUCCGCUGUCAUCGCUGUGGGUCAAUGGGGAGAAGAUGGGGGGGAGCGAGCCCAUGGCGGGAACACGGACAGCCAAUGGGGAGCGGAGAAACACAAUGGAGGGAAACCGGCAGCCAAUGGGCGCCUGCCAAACAGGGAUGACGUCAUCAACCCGUAGAGGGACACGGAGCUCACCCGGAUGGAGGGGUCGCGCGUAUAUGACGUCAUCACCCCGCGCCCGACCAGUUGAUGACGUCACAGCGGCACUUCCGUUUUAUUCCAAGCGAUUUGGCCCCAAAGUCGCCCCGCCCCCACGUGGCAACACGUGACGUCACCGACCGCCCCGCCCACAUAGCAACACGUGACGUCACUGCCCCACACAUCAGCCCCACUUAUGGGGCAGGGCUCCACUUAUGGGUCACAGCCCCACUUAUGGGGCAGAGCCCCACUUAUGGGGCAGGGUUCCACUUAUGGGGCAGGGUUCAACUUAUGGGGCAGAACCCCACUUGGGGGACAAGGCUCCACUUGUGGGUCACAGUCCUACUACUUAUGGGGCAGGGCUUCACUUAUGGGUCACAGCCCCACUUGGGGGUCACAGUCCUACUUAUGGGUCGCAGGUCCAUUUAUGGGUCACAGGUCCACUUGUGGGUCAGAUCCUACUUAUGGGUCACAGGUCCACUUGUGGGUCAGAUCCUACUUAUGGGUCGCAGGUCCACUUAUGGGUCGCAGGUCCACUUGUGGGUCACAGUCCUACUUAUGGGGCAGGGCUCCACUUGUGGGUCAGUCCGUGGGUCCAUCUAUCCAUCUCCUGUGGGUCCACAUCCACUUGUGGGGCAGCGCUAUGGGGCAGAGCCGCGGAGUGUCGCUAUGGGGCAGUGCCCCACUUAUGGGGCAGAGCUUCACAUACUUAGGGGUUGCAGCCCCACUUGUGGGGCAGAGCUCCACUUAUGGGUCAGGACCCCACUUAUGGGGCGGGAUGCCACUUAUGGGUCGCAGCCCCACUUGUGGGUCAGAGCUUCACAUACUUGGGGGUCACAGCCACACUUAUGGGUCAGUCCAGGGGGGGGGGAGGUUACGACACUGUGGGGCAGAGCCAUGGAGUGUCGCUAUGGGGCAGCGCCCCACUUAUGGGGUAGAGCUUCACGUACUUAUGGGACACAGCCACACUUGGGG